This is a long non-coding RNA of Trifolium pratense (red clover), 960 nucleotides long. RefSeq lists it as uncharacterized. The record is from RefSeq and is a predicted model, not a curated record. Lineage: Eukaryota; Viridiplantae; Streptophyta; Magnoliopsida; Fabales; Fabaceae. The transcript has 3 exons.
ACAACUCAUGUUUUAUUUGUUUCAUUUACCCAAAGUCAGGACCUGUUCUUCUUCUCUCCACGCCAUCACCACCAACUACCACCAUUGUUCUUCUUCUCCAUAAAAAAGUUUACUAUUUUCAAUCACCCAAAAUCACAUGCAAAUUCUUGGCUAAACUCCUCACAACCCAAGGAUUUAGGCAAUUAAGGUAAUAGAAAAAUAAACUCUUCUUUCCUCACCAAUCUCUCUGCCUCUCGUACUCUCUCAUUUUCACAAACUCCAAUUUCACUCUCAAUUCUUAGUUGCAUGUGUUGUUCAUUCAAUCAUAAGGAUAUGGGCCAUUGGACUUCUAAGGUAAGAGUAGUAAUUUCAGUUUCAUUCCUUUUCUCUAUGAACCCUAAGACCAAUAUAUGUCCCUACCCAUUGGAUUGAUUGUUUGUACAUGAUUUUAUGUUUUGGAACACUCAUGAGAGCUUGAGACCUGCAUUGAACAAGAAAAUAGGAAAGAAGAACAGAAAUUGGAAACAAGCAAAAAUUGGAAUGAGCCUAAGGAAAUUCGUGUUUGGGAUAUGCCUGCAGUAAAACAGGUACUGAUGCUGUCAAAUUCUGGGUUUUGGAUUGCGAGUUUUACGCGCUCGGAUGCUCGAGAGUGUACGGAUCAGUUCAGUGAUGCUGGAUAUCUCAGAUAAACAGGUUGCUCAAGGCAUGGAGGCUGCGAGCUAAGUGGAGCAGGAGGCAUCCAGAGAUAUUAAUUAGAUGUUAUCUGUUUCAAUUUAUGUGUCAUAAUGGUUGUACAAUAUUUUAUAUGUAUUAACCUUUUCAGUCCUACCAAGUUAGGCUUGUCUGGCGAAUAAUUACCUCGUAAUUCUACCAUGUUAGACAAAAGAAUUCUGUAAUUUUAAUGUAUCUCGAUUCAGUUAUGUAUACUCCUAUUGAUAUUCUAGAUAAAUUAAUAUGGGGUGUUAUAGAGUUUACCUAAAA